CAGGUCGGAAAAUUUUAAAAUAAAAAAUAAUUAUAAUAAAGUAACCGACCUCACAUGGUGGGCAAAUCAAAUUAAUAUCACACUACUUUUCCCAUCAUCUCAUUUCACACUCCAUUCUCUCCUCUCUCUCUACUCGAUUUCAGCCAUAGCUCAUCGCCGCUGACUACCCAUCACCCAUAUCCGCCGUCCCCAGCCCAGUUUCCGCCGUCGCCGUUCACUGUCCAACCGACAAUACACCAUUUGAGUUCUGAGAAAUUACCAACGGACGAUGGCUGAUUCAUUUAAUUUAUAUCAAGUUAUUACUUAUUGAGAAAUUAUGAGGCAUUCAGAAUCACUUACGCGAAGAAGAAGAAGAAGAGGAGUAGUGAAUAACCCGAUGAAUGGGUUGAGGAACAGGCUAGGCAGACCUAAGUAAAUUUAAUUUAAUGUCUUUUUCUAAAACUGAAGCUCCUACGUUUCAUGUGCUUUUUAUCAAGCCCGGAUUUUGCCCUCUGGUAAUCUUUCUCACUUUAUUUUAUUUUGUAUAAUAUUAGCCUAAAAUGAGCUCUGUAUGAUGGUAUUUGAGGAUUUCAACGGACAGUCAGAGAAUGAUGCAUGUCUAACUAAAUCCAGUAUUUUUCACACGAAUAUAUGUGAAAUCAGUAAAAUUUCAAACAAGUACUAAAGUGCUUUUAUGUUUUAAGUGCCAUGAUGGAAUUCACAGGUUGCUGCUGGUUCUAUUAGAAUCUUUAUAUAUACAUGUUAGGGACUAUAAUGCUUAGGCCUCAAUUCUAAUUGGUGCCACAAUUCUAGGGCCUACAUGUUAGGGUCUGUGGCUUUUGUCUAUUGAAAAGACAAAUAUGCAGCUGUUAAAUGCAGUGGAAAUAGCUAGAAUGUCCAUGAAGGGACCAAAUUACCUAGGUGCAGAAAUAGCACUUAGAACAGUUACAUGGUUUGUGUAUGCAGCGAUCUCAUGUUCCUUGGGACUUUUUGCUGGUAUUAUGUCCGGUUUAACAUUGGGUCUCGUGUCUUUUGUUCUUGUUGAGCUUGAGAUCCUUCAACGUAGUGGCACCCCUGUUGAGAAAAAACAAGCAGGUUUCUCGAAGCAUCAAUCUCAUUAUAGGCCACAAAGUCUCAAUCUAAUUUACUCUCUAUGUCGCAAGUUAGUUAUUUACUGAAUAAUUGAAAAUAGAUGAAUAAAAUCACUUAUUCUUCUUUUGCA
Long non-coding RNA from Lycium barbarum (goji berry), 1201 nucleotides. RefSeq lists it as uncharacterized. Lineage: Eukaryota; Viridiplantae; Streptophyta; Magnoliopsida; Solanales; Solanaceae. The transcript has 2 exons. The record is from RefSeq and is a predicted model, not a curated record.